RNAcentral lists this ribosomal RNA (448 nucleotides) under Escherichia coli. RNAcentral's name for it is "bacterial SSU rRNA". It matches the Rfam family "Bacterial small subunit ribosomal RNA", at positions 471 to 917 of the family's 1533-position model. Lineage: Bacteria; Pseudomonadati; Pseudomonadota; Gammaproteobacteria; Enterobacterales; Enterobacteriaceae. The record is from RNAcentral. RNAcentral also lists the same sequence under 1 other name.
GACGUUACCCGCAGAAGAAGCACCGGCUAACUCCGUGCCAGCAGCCGCGGUAAUACGGAGGGGGCAAGCGUUAAUCGGAAUUACUGGGCGUAAAGGGCACGCAGGCGGUUUGUUAAGUCAGAUGUGAAAUCCCCGGGCUCAACCUGGGAACUGCAUCUGAUACUGGCAAGCUUGAGUCUCGUAGAGGGGGGUAGAAUUCCAGGUGUAGCGGUGAAAUGCGUAGAGAUCUGGAGGAAUACCGGUGGCGAAGGCGGCCCCCUGGACGAAGACUGACGCUCAGGUGCGAAAGCGUGGGGAGCAAACAGGAUUAGAUACCCUGGUAGUCCACGCCGUAAACGAUGUCGACUUGGAGGUUGUGCCCUUGAGGCGUGGCUUGCGGAGCUUACGCGUUAAGUCGACCGCCUGGGGGAGUACGGCCGCAAGGUUAAAACUCAAAUGAAUUGACGGG